Rattus norvegicus (Norway rat) is the source of this 69-nucleotide non-coding RNA. The record is from Rfam. NCBI's taxonomy places the organism in Eukaryota, Metazoa, Chordata, Mammalia, Rodentia, Muridae.
GGGGAUUUAGCUCAGUGGUAGAGCGCCUGCCUAGCAAGCACAAGGCCCUGGGUUCAGUCCCCAGCUCCG